GAUGAACGCUAGCGGGAGGCCUAACACAUGCAAGCCGAGCGGUAGAAGAUCUUCGGAUCUUUGAGAGCGGCGCACGGGUGCGGAACACGUGUGCAACCUGCCUUUAUCUGGGGGAUAGCCUUUCGAAAGGAAGAUUAAUACCCCAUAAUAUAUUAGAUGGCAUCAUUUAAUAUUGAAAACUCCGGUGGAUAGAGAUGGGC
RNAcentral lists this ribosomal RNA (200 nucleotides) under uncultured bacterium. RNAcentral describes it as "partial 16S ribosomal RNA". It matches the Rfam family "Bacterial small subunit ribosomal RNA", at positions 28 to 230 of the family's 1533-position model. The record is from RNAcentral.